Molecule: ribosomal RNA, 162 nt
Filed under: Acinetobacter baumannii
Lineage: Bacteria; Pseudomonadati; Pseudomonadota; Gammaproteobacteria; Moraxellales; Moraxellaceae
Description: partial 16S ribosomal RNA
Rfam family: Bacterial small subunit ribosomal RNA
Source: RNAcentral
UGUACACACCGCCCGUCACACCAUGGGAGUGGGUUGCAAAAGAAGUAGGUAGCUUAACCUUCGGGAGGGCGCUUACCACUUUGUGAUUCAUGACUGGGGUGAAGUCGUAACAAGGUAGCCGUAGGGGAACCUGCGGCUGGAUCACCUCCUUACCUUAAAGAA